Molecule: ribosomal RNA, 253 nt
Filed under: uncultured bacterium
Lineage: Bacteria
Description: partial 16S ribosomal RNA
Rfam family: Bacterial small subunit ribosomal RNA
Source: RNAcentral
AACGUAGGACGCAAGCGUUAUCCGGAGUUACUGGGCGUAAAGCGCGGGCAGGCGGUCUUGCCAGUCUGAUGUGAAAUCUCCUCGCUCAACGGGGAGCAGCCAUUGGAAACUACAAGACUGGAGUCUGGCAGAGGUAGGCGGAAUUCCGGGUGGAGUGGUGAAAUGCGUAGAGAUCCGGAGGAACACCAGUGGCGAAGGCGGCCACCUGGGCUGUACCUGACGCUCAAACACGAAAGCUAGGGGAGCGAACGGG